Molecule: long non-coding RNA, 1310 nt
Organism: Papaver somniferum (opium poppy)
Lineage: Eukaryota; Viridiplantae; Streptophyta; Magnoliopsida; Ranunculales; Papaveraceae
Exons: 4
Source: RefSeq, a predicted model, not a curated record
UAAAUGCUCGUUGGGAUCUAAAAGAAUUCAAACACCCUCUUGAGACAUCAGGACUUGGGAGCGGUGAAGGCUUUUGAACUGUUUAUUCUUCAUUCUCGGAAGCUUUACUGGGGAAAUUUUCAUUCUCGUGAGCAAGGACAGCACAUUUGGAAUCAUGGUGCUGAAAAUCAAUCACAUUCCAUCUUUUCUUCAGGACAGCACAUUUGGAAUCUGUAUUUGGGUAAAGCAAAGUGGGGUUGGGAGAGGAUAAGAUAAGUAAUUUACCUGAUGCACUAAUCCAUCACAUUCCAUCUUUUCUUCCAACCAAAUGUGGUACGUCUACCUGCAUUUUAUCCAAAAGAUGGAAGUAUGUUGUCAAUUCUAUCACUAUACUUGAUUUUCGUAACUGGCGAACUCAGACGGCUACAAUGAAGCAAGAAAAAACUGAAACCAAAAGGUUGAUGAAUUUUGUGGACACAGUACUACUUCUUCAUGAAAAGCUUAACAUCCAGAAGUUCUAUCUUGAUUUAGAUGAGCUUUUUGAUAAUGCCCGAUUUAAUAGAUGGAUCAGUACUAUUAUGAAUCGUAAAGUUGAAGAAUUUGGUCUAUCCAGAAAACGAUUAAGUUUCUACUCUGAAUUUCAUCCAUCAUUUUUGAUUUGUGAUUCAUUUUUGAUUUGUGAUUCAUUGACAAUUUUGGAUUUGAAAUUCCAAUAUAUGACUGAUGGCGACAAGUUCACUAUUACAAAUACAGUUUCUUUUCCAAAGCUCAAGAUACUUCGGCUGACAAGUUCACUAUUACAAAUACAGUUUCUUUUCCAAAGCUCAAGAUACUUCGGCUCACGUUGCUUCGUUUUAAUAUCUACCGGAAGACUUUGUCCUUGAUAGCUUUCCAUCACUAGUUGAGGCAGAUGUAGGCUUUUAUAUGUAUGAGGGAUACAAAUACCCCCACGACGAAGUACGAGUAUUUGUCAAGCUUUUGGAAAAGCUUUCAAGUGCAAGGCUCCUUAAAAUAUAUGCCAACUCAUUUGUCCUUGAUUCUAAGAGAGACCGAUAUCCUCAUAACCAAUUUUCCCGCAUUUGACAAUUUGAUCCAUCUGGAAAUUGGUUCACAAUAUGGUUGCUCGAGCUUUGGUACAGAUACUAUUUCAACGGUGAGAAAGUUUUUCAAGUUUCUCCAGCUGUCGCCUAAUCUAGAAUCGAUUAUCUUUCCUCGGGCACUCAUCUCUGACUUCUGAAUAUUGUUUAAAGGAUUUUCUUUUCUUGUUGGAAUUGGUAUUCAGUUCUCUCAUUGCAAAUUGAUGUUACCGUAUUAAGCAAAUUUGAAUCGCA